This 211-nucleotide long non-coding RNA is filed under the name Nicotiana benthamiana. Its description in RNAcentral is "long non-coding RNA (NBEN_LNC000366)". The record is from RNAcentral. Lineage: Eukaryota; Viridiplantae; Streptophyta; Magnoliopsida; Solanales; Solanaceae.
AGGCACACUUGAAGUAGCCUGCUAAUUCCAAGCCAACAGCCUAGAUUUAGUACUUUAAUCUAAAUUAUUAUUGUAGAUAGAGAGCAUCACUGAAAGCUUACUGAACUGCUAUAUAUAUAGGACGCGAUCAUGGCGGAGUAGCACAUAGUGGCCUAAGGCGUUGUUGGUUGUAUAUUGCUAUUUGAAAUUGAAAGAGCUUUCUUUCGACCCC